GGGUAUAUAGGUCAGUGGUGGAGUGCAUGCCUAGUAUGCAUAAGGUCCUGGGCUCAAUCCCCAGUACCUCCA
RNAcentral lists this transfer RNA (72 nucleotides) under Camelus bactrianus (Bactrian camel). It matches the Rfam family "tRNA". From Rfam's summary of the family: Transfer RNA (tRNA) molecules are approximately 80 nucleotides in length. Their secondary structure includes four short double-helical elements and three loops (D, anti-codon, and T loops). The record is from Rfam by way of RNAcentral. Lineage: Eukaryota; Metazoa; Chordata; Mammalia; Artiodactyla; Camelidae. RNAcentral also lists the same sequence under 2 other names.